This 253-nucleotide ribosomal RNA is filed under the name uncultured bacterium. RNAcentral's name for it is "partial 16S ribosomal RNA". It matches the Rfam family "Bacterial small subunit ribosomal RNA", at positions 524 to 776 of the family's 1533-position model. The record is from RNAcentral.
GACAGAGGGUGCAAACGUUGUUCGGAAUUACUGGGCGUAAAGCGCGUGUAGGCGGUCUCAUAAGUCGGGUGUGAAAGCCCUGGGCUCAACCCAGGAAGUGCACUCGAUACUGCGAGGCUAGAGUAUCGGAGAGGUUGGUGGAAUUCUCGGUGUAGAGGUGAAAUUCGUAGAUAUCGAGAGGAACACCGGUGGCGAAGGCGGCCAACUGGACGAAUACUGACGCUGAGACUCGAAAGCGUGGGGAGCAAACAGG